Molecule: long non-coding RNA, 410 nt
Filed under: Androctonus crassicauda
Lineage: Eukaryota; Metazoa; Arthropoda; Arachnida; Scorpiones; Buthidae
Source: RNAcentral
AAAACUUUAAAUGUUUUUUUAUCACAUAUAAACAGAUAUAUACCUUAAAUUAUAUUCAUUAAUGGUAGAGAGGGGGGUUAAACCAUAAAGUUGGUUGUCAUUAGAUUGCUGUGGGUGCUUUGUAUCUUCUUUGAGUGGUGCUUGUGAUGUUUCCCAUGGUGAAUGCAUGUCAUGGGCAGUCUUUAUUUAGAAGGUAUUUCCAUGGGUUUGGAAGUUCUGGGGAUGAAUGGUCAUUCAGGAGCUUUUCUUUGUUUCCUCUAGUAUACAUUUCCAUUGUUUCCGCAAGAAGCGUAUGCCUCUCUUUGUCUAAAGAUCUGACUAUUCUUGUUUCUUGCCAGUUUACUGUUAUAUCAUUCUCUAUAGCUGCCAAGGCUACAGCUGUGUUAUUUUUCCCUUUUUCUGGGUCCUUC